CACACCGCCCGUCGCUACUACCGAUUGAAUGGCUCAGUGAGGCCUUCGGACUGGCUCGGGGAGGUUGGCAACGACCACCCCGAGCCGGAAAGUUCGUCAAACUCGGUCAUUUAGAGGAAGUAAAAGUCGUAACAAGGUUUCCGUAGGUGAACCUGCGGAAGGAUCAUUAAUUAUAUUAACGGGGAGAAUUUCGGUUCUCUUGUCAGCAUACGGGGGGGAACCCCUCUGGUUCCCCUGUCUGAACCCUUGUCUUUUGCGUACUAUUUGUUUCCUUGGUGGGCUUGCCUGCCGAUAGGACACUAUUAAACCUUUUGUAAUUGCAAUCAGCGUCAGAAAAACAUAAUAGUUACAACUUUCAACAACGGAUCUCUUGGUUCUGGCAUCGAUGAAGAACGCAGCGAAAUGCGAAAAGUAGUGUGAAUUGCAGAAUUCAGUGAAUCAUCGAAUCUUUGAACGCACAUUGCGCCCCUUGGUAUUCCAUGGGGCAUGCCUGUUCGAGCGUCAUUUGUACCUUCAAGCUCUGCUUGGUGUUGGGUGUUUGUCCCGCUUUAUGCGUGGACUCGCCUCAAAGCAAUUGGCAGCCGGCGUACUAGCCUGGGAGCGCAGCACAUUUUGCGCCUCUUGACCUGAACGUUGGCGUCCAUUAAGCCUAUACUUUUGCUCUUGACCUCGGAUCAGGUAGGGAUACCCGCUGAACUUAAGCAUAUCAAUAAGCGGAGGAAAAGAAACCAACAGGGAUUGCCCUAGUAACGGCGAGUGAAGCGGCAUCAGCUCAAAUUUGAAAUCUGGCUCUUUCAGGGUCCGAGUUGUAAUUUGCAGAGGGCGCUUUGGCGUUGGCAGCGGUCCAAGUUCCUUGGAACAGGACGUCACAGAGGGUGAGAAUCCCGUACGUGGUCGCUGGCCUUCGCCGUGUAAAGCCCCUUCGACGAGUCGAGUUGUUUGGGAAUGCAGCUCUAAAUGGGAGGUAAAUUUCUUCUAAAGCUAAAUACUGGCCAGAGACCGAUAGCGCACAAGUAGAGUGAUCGAAAGAUGAAAAGCACUUUGGAAAGAGAGUCAAAUAGCACGUGAAAUUGUUGAAAGGGAAGCGCUUGCAGCCAGACUUGCCUGUAGUUGCUCAUCCGGGCCCUAUGCCCGGUGCAAUCUUCUGCGGGCAGGCCAGCAUCAGUUUGGGCGGUUGGAUAAAGGCCUCUGUCACGUACCUCCUUUCGGGGAGGCCUUAUAGGGGAGGCGUAAUGCAACCAGCCUGAACUGAGGUCCGCGCAUCUGCUAGGAUGCUGGCGUAAUGGCUGUAAGCGGCCCGUCUUGAAACACGGACCAAGGAGUCUAACAUCUAUGCGAGUGUUUGGGUGUCAAGCCCGAACGCGUAAUGAAAGUGAACGGAGGUGGGAUCCCUUUAGGGUGCACCAUCGACCGAUCCUGAUGUCUUCGGAUGGAUUUGAGUAAGAGCAUGGCUGUUGGGACCCGAAAGAUGGUGAACUAUGCUUGAAUAGGGUGAAGCCAGAGGAAACUCUGGUGGAGGCUCGCAGCGGUUCUGACGUGCAAAUCGAUCGUCAAAUUUGGGCAUAGGGGCGAAAGACUAAUCGA
This 1584-nucleotide ribosomal RNA is filed under the name Neocucurbitaria ribicola. RNAcentral's name for it is "eukaryotic LSU rRNA". The stretch from base 665 to 1584 matches the Rfam family "Eukaryotic large subunit ribosomal RNA", at positions 1 to 938 of the family's 3401-position model. The record is from RNAcentral. Lineage: Eukaryota; Fungi; Ascomycota; Dothideomycetes; Pleosporales; Cucurbitariaceae.